AACGCACGAGACCUGCGGACCUGCGGAAGGAUCAUUAAAGUGUUCUCACUGGCUGUGCGCCCUCGGGCUGCACGCCGGUUCCACUCAUCCACACCUGUGCACCUUUUCGGUGGAGGGGGAAACCCCUUCAUCUGUACAUCACACGUCGUAUCAGUCUUGUAUGUCUUCGUUGUAAAACACAAUACAACUUUCAGCAACGGAUCUCU
Molecule: unclassified non-coding RNA, 206 nt
Filed under: soil metagenome
Description: partial contains 5.8S ribosomal RNA, internal transcribed spacer 2, and large subunit ribosomal RNA
Source: RNAcentral